GCUGGGUGUGGUGGCGGGCACCUGUAAUCCCAGCUACUCAGGAGGCUGAGACUGGAGAAUUGCUUGAACUCAGGAGCGGAGGGUGCAGUGAGCCGAGAUUGUGCCACUGCACUCCAGCCUGGGUGACAGAGCAAGACUCUGUCUUAA
This 147-nucleotide signal recognition particle RNA is filed under the name Chlorocebus sabaeus (green monkey). RNAcentral's name for it is "Metazoan signal recognition particle RNA". It matches the Rfam family "Metazoan signal recognition particle RNA". From Rfam's summary of the family: The signal recognition particle (SRP) is a universally conserved ribonucleoprotein. The record is from Rfam by way of RNAcentral. Lineage: Eukaryota; Metazoa; Chordata; Mammalia; Primates; Cercopithecidae.